This 2438-nucleotide long non-coding RNA is filed under the name Sus scrofa (pig). RNAcentral's name for it is "lncRNA (ENSSSCG00060041500.1)". Lineage: Eukaryota; Metazoa; Chordata; Mammalia; Artiodactyla; Suidae. The record is from RNAcentral.
UUGUGUAUAUUUUGAAAAGCUUAUAAUCUUUUGAUAGAUAUUUCCUCAUACAUCUGUGUAUAAAUCCCUACUCUAAGUCGUAAAUUUCUUGGGGGCAGUAAUUGUGUCAUUCACCAGGGCAUCAUGCUUAUCACAUUUUUUGGCACAAUCAGCAAAAUUAUAAGUGAAUAAACAUAAAUAAAUGCAUAAAUCAUUGCUGGCCGAUUGAAUGACUGUGUCUGCUAUAGUUGUGAAAACCAGAUUACUAAGUUUAUUAGAAAUGUGUCUGAAGUAAGAGCAAACAGGCACUGAAUGAGAAUCUGGGGAAUUUACCAAUAAGUAAAAUGAAUUAUUGUUAGUAUGUGAAGGUUUUGAUAUAUAGUUUGGCUGCUAAGUGCUCUAAUUUGCUUCUUUUUUGACAAUUGUCUACAUAAGGUUAAAUGUGAAUGAGUGAAAAGCAUGUUUUUAAAACUUUUUAAAAAAUAAUUAAACAGGCAGUCACAAAAUUAAUACAUGAAUCCUUCACAGUUUCCUCCAAUAGUGACAUCUUACGGAGCUGUAGCACAAUAUCAAAACCAGAAAACUGACGUUGUUAUAAUACUAUUUAUCUUUCACCAUUUUUUACAUGUACAUAUUUGUGUGUUUUGUUUUUGUCUCUACUGUUCUUGAAGUUUUGUCCAUGUAUAGAUUUCUAUAACUUACCACAAUCAAGAUACAAAACUGGGAGUUCCCAUUGUGGCUCAGCAGGCUAAGAAUCUGACAUAGUGUUCAUGAGAUUUGGGUUGGAUCUCUGGCCUCAUAGAUACCGCUGAGAUCCACUGAAGAACUUCCAUAUGCUUUGGGUGAACCAUCAAAAGAAAGCAAAUAAAUAAAUAAAUGAUGCAUCCUACUUUAAAACAAACAAAUAUCAAAAAAACAAGACACAGAACUGUUCUAGAGUUCCCACUCUAUUGCAGUGGGUUAAGACUCUAAUUGCAGUGGCUCACGGUCCUGCAGAGGCACUGGCUCCAUCCCUGACCUAGCACAGUGGGUUAAAGGAUCUGAUGUUGCCACAGCUGUGGCAUAGGUUGCAGCUACAGCUGGAUUCAGUCCCUGGCCUGGGAACUUCUAUAUACUGUGAGUGUAGCCAUUAUUAAAAAAAAAAAAAAAAGGUGCCAAACUGUUCUAAUAACACAAAGGAAUUUCCCUAUGCCAUCCCGUUAUUAGUCAUACCUAUCUCCACCCACCCUUUGACAACCCCUAAUCUCAUCUCCAUCUCUAUAGUUUGUCAAUUUAAAGAUUUUGCAUAUAGAAUCAUAAAGUAUAUAACCUUUGAGAUUGGCUUUUUCCACUUAGCAUAAUACCCUUGAGAUCCAUCCAAAUAAUUGCAUGUAAUACUAUGUUUUUUUAUAUCAGGAGAUGCAAAAGAGAUACCAGUUGAGUUCUAAAAUUUGGAUGAAAUUUCUUUUAUUGGAAAUAUAUUGAUUUAGAUCUUUUAAAAGACAUUAGGGUUUAUGCAUCCUAGUUAGUUAUUAGCAUUAUAUUUUAAAAACUCAGGUGAGAUUAAUUUUUACAUUGUUAGAGAAAUAUUAACUAAGGUUUCAGGUAUCAUUUGGAAAGAAAUACUCAGAUAGUGUCAUUUUGAACUUAUAGUCCACAACUUGAUACAUACAUGCAAUAUAAAAAUUCACAAGGUAAACUCACUUUGCCAUUGCUACAGACUGCCAAGGGCCAGUAAGUAUUUUAUUGACAGUUAGGUUUGGUGGAAUUAUGAUUCUGGUGAGACUGAUUUGGGAGCUUAUUUAAUUUGAAGAAAGUUUUCUUGAUUUCCCUAAUACUGAGAAUUUUCUCUUAUCUGCCAUAACCUCUUAUUAUUGUCACCUCUCCAUGAAAUGCUAUUAUGGUUCCCGUAUUCAAAUGCAUUUUCAAUUUUAUUCAUAUUUUUCAGCUACUGACAGCUAUCAGUCUUGUGACAAGUAGCAUUUAUGAUAAUAUACUAACAAAUUGUUUGAAAGAAAAGGAAAGUGAGUGAUUUAUGUCUUAGGUGUAAGGAGGUUAAAUUUGAUUUCACUGUAAUAAGACACUUCGAGACAGACUUAGUUUUGCUACCGUGAGCUUACUGGAGUUAUUAUGCCAUAUUGAGCAAAAGCUUUAAUCCAUGUUUAGCCAGAAGACUUAUUCAUUCUGCAAAAGAAAGAUUUCUAUCGUCAUCCAAAGAAUUGACUUCUUGUAGAUUUUGAGAGAGCCUUUAUCCUGCUAAUACCCUGCUUAUGUAAUACAAAUAUAUGGGAAACUUCCCAAAAUACAUCCUAUCUGUGAGAACCCUUUUCUUCUAGCCAUCUCCUUCUCAAUUGCCAUCUUCAGCUACAUGUGCUUAAGGCUGCAUGAACUGCCAACCCCUCUGACCCUUAUUCUUCCACUUACCUUCCCAUUCCCACAUGUUCCUUCGCACAGAUAUGCAUAAUUCGCCAAAUGAAAAC